This 866-nucleotide ribosomal RNA is filed under the name uncultured Corynebacterium sp. RNAcentral's name for it is "bacterial SSU rRNA". It matches the Rfam family "Bacterial small subunit ribosomal RNA". Lineage: Bacteria; Bacillati; Actinomycetota; Actinomycetes; Mycobacteriales; Corynebacteriaceae. The record is from RNAcentral.
GACGAACGCUGGCGGCGUGCUUAACACAUGCAAGUCGAACGGUAAGGCUCCAGCUUGCUGGGGUACACGAGUGGCGAACGGGUGAGUAACACGUGGGUGACCUGCCCUGCACUUCGGGAUAAGCCUGGGAAACUGGGUCUAAUACCGGAUAGGACCGCACCGUGAGGGUGUGGUGGAAAGUUUUUUCGGUGUGGGAUGGGCCCGCGGCCUAUCAGCUUGUUGGUGGGGUAAUGGCCUACCAAGGCGGCGACGGGUAGCCGGCCUGAGAGGGUGGACGGCCACAUUGGGACUGAGACACGGCCCAGACUCCUACGGGAGGCAGCAGUGGGGAAUAUUGCACAAUGGGCGGAAGCCUGAUGCAGCGACGCCGCGUGGGGGAUGACGGCCUUCGGGUUGUAAACUCCUUUCACCAUCGACGAAGGGUUUCUGACGGUAGAUGGAGAAGAAGCACCGGCUAACUACGUGCCAGCAGCCGCGGUAAUACGUAGGGUGCGAGCGUUGUCCGGAAUUACUGGGCGUAAAGAGCUCGUAGGUGGUUUGUCGCGUCGUCUGUGAAAUUCCGGGGCUUAACUCCGGGCGUGCAGGCGAUACGGGCAUAACUUGAGUACUGUAGGGGAGACUGGAAUUCCUGGUGUAGCGGUGAAAAUGCGCAGAUAUCAGGAGGAAACACCGGUGGCGAAGGCGGGUUCUCUGGGCAGUAAUUGACGCUGAGGGAGCGAAAGCAUGGGGGAGCGAAACAGGAUUUAAUACUCUGGUUUGUCCAAGGGCUAAUUCCCCAGUGGGAUAUAAAGCUUAUCGAUACCGUCGACCCCGAGGAGUGUGGUUUUUAUUAUCAAAUUUGUUCCCUUUAGUGAGGGGUUAUUAAC